AGAACGAACGCUGGCGGCGUGGAUAAGACAUGCAAGUCGAACGCGACUUAUUUUGUUAGCAAUAACGAAGUAAGUUGAGUGGCGAAAGGGUGCGUAACACGUGGGAAUUUACCAAAAAGUGGGGAAUAGCUUGGCGAAAGCCAAAUUAAUACCGCAUGUGAUCGAAAGAUCAAAGCCGGGGACCGCAAGGCCUGGCGCUUUUUGAGAAGCCCGCGGCCCAUCAGCUAGUUGGCGAGGUAAAAGCUCACCAAGGCUAUGACGGGUAGCUGGUCUGAGAGGACGACCAGCCACACUGGAACUGAGACACGGUCCAGACACCUACGGGUGGCAGCAGUCGAGAAUUUUUCACAAU
This 352-nucleotide ribosomal RNA is filed under the name uncultured bacterium. Its description in RNAcentral is "SSU rRNA". It matches the Rfam family "Bacterial small subunit ribosomal RNA", at positions 26 to 372 of the family's 1533-position model. The record is from RNAcentral.